GAUUAGUUAUAGAGAGAGACAAAAUUAGCCGGGUAGAGAGAGCGGAGCGACGGUGAUGGAGGAACGGACGGUGGUCUCCGUCCGGCCACGGACCGGUGGUUUUGACGCAACAAACAACGGUAGAAUUUGACACACUCGCUUUUUAGAAUCCAGAUGAGGGUUGUUUUUAGAGAAAGGGGCGUUCACCUGCUGUUACGGGUGAUGUUCCGGCCAUGACGGCGGCGGAUCUGUGUACCAAGUCACCACCGUCGUUCACCAUCUCCACCACCCUCAUCUUCAAAAUUCGUCCAAACUUCAGCAACCAACUUCGUGCACAAAAAAAAAUCCGAUUUAUCUCUCAUUCAAAUCAGUGAUGGCGAUAAAUAAGCAAUCAGUGGGUAUGUACAGAAGCUCCUUAGAAGCUAAGGCGAGGUCGUUGAUGUUACCUUAAUCUCGCACAAUCUUAACAGAGUUGGUAUAAGUUACCUUGAAGACGUCUUUGUUGCUUAUCAUGUUAUCGGAUCCUCGAGGAACGAGGUUCAGAUAUUAGAACUUCCCACCUAGGGCUGAAAGACGUGUUUGCUCUUCUUCAAUGGUAUGAGGGAAUUAGAGUUGCCACAUGCAUGUAACAUUGUGGAUAAAGGAACAUGGAAGCUGCCUGGUGACAUGUUUGAGGGGGCUUAAUCUAUAUGAUAUUACAGUCAUUCAAUGACAAAUCUAGAUAUGACGCGAGAAUCUGCACUACUCUAUCUUGAUGUUUGAUUGAGUGUUUUAAUGGCAAACCAUUCAAUAUCUCAAAUUACAUACUAUUUUCUCUGAUGAACCAUUGUGCACGUGUGUAAUCGGGGCUAUAUUCAACAAUAUUUUUUUGUUGUUUUGCUUUUUUCUAUUUUUUGAUCAGUUAUUCUCUACGCCU
This 895-nucleotide long non-coding RNA is filed under the name Helianthus annuus (common sunflower). RNAcentral describes it as "hypothetical non coding rna". The record is from RNAcentral. Lineage: Eukaryota; Viridiplantae; Streptophyta; Magnoliopsida; Asterales; Asteraceae.